This 492-nucleotide ribosomal RNA is filed under the name uncultured bacterium. Its description in RNAcentral is "partial 16S ribosomal RNA". It matches the Rfam family "Bacterial small subunit ribosomal RNA", at positions 29 to 507 of the family's 1533-position model. The record is from RNAcentral.
AGUGAACGCUGGCGGUAGGCCUAACACAUGCAAGUCGAACGGCAGCACAGUAAGAGCUUGCUCUUACGGGUGGCGAGUGGCGGACGGGUGAGGAAUACAUCGGAAUCUACUUUUUCGUGGGGGAUAACGUAGGGAAACUUACGCUAAUACCGCAUACGCCCUACGGGUGAAAGCAGGGGAUCUUCGGACCUUUCGCGAUUGAAUGAGCCGAUGUCGGAUUAGCUAGUUGGCGGGGUAAAGGCCCACCAAGGCGACGAUCCGUAGCUGGUCUGAGAGGAUGAUCAGCCACACUGGAACUGAGACACGGUCCAGACUCCUACGGGAGGCAGCAGUGGGGAAUAUUGGACAAUGGGCGCAAGCCUGAUCCAGCCAUACCGCGUGGGUGAAGAAGGCCUUCGGGUUGUAAAGCCCUUUUGUUGGGAAAGAAAAGCAGCAGGUUAAUACCCCGCUGUUCUGACGGUACCCAAAGAAUAAGCACCGGCUAACUUCGUG